GACGAACGCUGGCGGCGUGCCUAAUACAUGCAAGUAGAACGCUGAAGGAGGAGCUUGCUUCUCUGGAUGAGUUGCGAACGGGUGAGUAACGCGUAGGUAACCUGCCUGGUAGCGGGGGAUAACUAUUGGAAACGAUAGCUAAUACCGCAUAAGAGUAGAUGUUGCAUGACAUUUGCUUAAAAGGUGCAAUUGCAUCACUACCAGAUGGACCUGCGUUGUAUUAGCUAGUUGGUGGGGUAACGGCUUACCAAGGCGACGAUACAUAGCCGACCUGAGAGGGUGAUCGGCCACACUGGGUCUGAGACACGGCCCAGACUCCUACGGGAGGCAGCAGUAGGGAAUCUUCGGCAAUGGACGGAAGUCUGACCGAGCAACGCCGCGUGAGUGAAGAAGGUUUUCGGAUCGUAAAGCUCUGUUGUAAGAGAAGAACGAGUGUGAGAGUGGAAAGUUCACACUGUGACGGUAUCUUACCAGAAAGGGACGGCUAACUACGUG
Molecule: ribosomal RNA, 495 nt
Filed under: uncultured bacterium
Lineage: Bacteria
Description: partial 16S ribosomal RNA
Rfam family: Bacterial small subunit ribosomal RNA
Source: RNAcentral